GGAAGUAAAAGUCGUAACAAGAUUUCCGUAGGUGAACCUGCGGAAGGAUCAUUAAAGUUAUAGUCCCCCGGCCCUCUGGGCUGGGGUCUUCUAUACCACCCUCUGUUUAUUACACCUUUGUUGCUUUGGCAGGCCUGCCCUCGGGCUGCUGGCUCCGGCCGGCUCGCGUCUGCCAGAGGACCUAAACUCUGUUUGUAUAUGAAGUCUGAGUACUAUAUAAUAGUUAAAACUUUCAACAACGGAUCUCUUGGUUCUG
This 256-nucleotide unclassified non-coding RNA is filed under the name plant metagenome. Its description in RNAcentral is "partial contains small subunit ribosomal RNA, internal transcribed spacer 1, and 5.8S ribosomal RNA". The stretch from base 1 to 54 matches the Rfam family "Eukaryotic small subunit ribosomal RNA", at positions 1778 to 1831 of the family's 1831-position model. The record is from RNAcentral.